CUGCUGCCUUCCGUAGGAGUCUGGUCCGUGUCUCAGUACCAGUGUGGGGGACCUUCCUCUCAGAACCCCUACGCAUCGUCGCCUUGGUGGGCCGUUACCCCGCCAACUAGCUAAUGCGACGCAUGACCAUCCGUAGCCGGAAUCGCUUCCUUUAAACCCGAGGAGAUGCCUCCUCGGGUUGUUACGCGGUAUUAGACGGAAUUUCUUCCGCUUAUCCCCCUGCUACGGGCAGGUUUCAUACGUGUUACUCACCCGUGCGCCGGUCGCCGGCGGGAGUA
RNAcentral lists this ribosomal RNA (278 nucleotides) under uncultured bacterium. RNAcentral's name for it is "partial 16S ribosomal RNA". The record is from RNAcentral.